RNAcentral lists this ribosomal RNA (445 nucleotides) under uncultured bacterium. RNAcentral's name for it is "bacterial SSU rRNA". It matches the Rfam family "Bacterial small subunit ribosomal RNA", at positions 331 to 792 of the family's 1533-position model. The record is from RNAcentral.
CCAGACUCCUACGGGAGGCAGCAGUGGGGAAUAUUGGGCAAUGGAGGGAACUCUGACCCAGCAACGCCGCGUGAAGGAUGAAGGUUUUCGGAUUGUAAACUUCUGUCGCGAGGGAUGAAGAAUGACGGUACCUCGUAAGAAAGCCCCGGCAAACUACGUGCCAGCAGCCGCGGUAAUACGUAGGGGGCAAGCGUUAUCCGGAUUUACUGGGUGUAAAGGGAGCGUAGGCGGCGAUGCAAGUCAGAAGUGAAAGCCCGGGGCUCAACUCCGGGACUGCUUUUGAAACUGUGUUGCUAGAUUGCAGGAGAGGUAAGUGGAAUUCCUAGUGUAGCGGUGAAAUGCGUAGAUAUUAGGAGGAACACCAGUGGCGAAGGCGGCUUACUGGACUGUAAAUGACGCUGAGGCUCGAAAGCGUGGGGAGCAAACAGGAUUAGAUACCCUAGUA